Molecule: ribosomal RNA, 1436 nt
Filed under: Salmonella enterica subsp. enterica serovar Telelkebir
Lineage: Bacteria; Pseudomonadati; Pseudomonadota; Gammaproteobacteria; Enterobacterales; Enterobacteriaceae
Description: bacterial SSU rRNA
Rfam family: Bacterial small subunit ribosomal RNA
Source: RNAcentral
GCUGACGAGUGGCGGACGGGUGAGUAAUGUCUGGGAAACUGCCUGAUGGAGGGGGAUAACUACUGGAAACGGUGGCUAAUACCGCAUAACGUCGCAAGACCAAAGAGGGGGACCUUCGGGCCUCUUGCCAUCAGAUGUGCCCAGAUGGGAUUAGCUUGUUGGUGAGGUAACGGCUCACCAAGGCGACGAUCCCUAGCUGGUCUGAGAGGAUGACCAGCCACACUGGAACUGAGACACGGUCCAGACUCCUACGGGAGGCAGCAGUGGGGAAUAUUGCACAAUGGGCGCAAGCCUGAUGCAGCCAUGCCGCGUGUAUGAAGAAGGCCUUCGGGUUGUAAAGUACUUUCAGCGGGGAGGAAGGUGUUGUGGUUAAUAACCGCAGCAAUUGACGUUACCCGCAGAAGAAGCACCGGCUAACUCCGUGCCAGCAGCCGCGGUAAUACGGAGGGUGCAAGCGUUAAUCGGAAUUACUGGGCGUAAAGCGCACGCAGGCGGUCUGUCAAGUCGGAUGUGAAAUCCCCGGGCUCAACCUGGGAACUGCAUUCGAAACUGGCAGGCUUGAGUCUUGUAGAGGGGGGUAGAAUUCCAGGUGUAGCGGUGAAAUGCGUAGAGAUCUGGAGGAAUACCGGUGGCGAAGGCGGCCCCCUGGACAAAGACUGACGCUCAGGUGCGAAAGCGUGGGGAGCAAACAGGAUUAGAUACCCUGGUAGUCCACGCCGUAAACGAUGUCUACUUGGAGGUUGUGCCCUUGAGGCGUGGCUUCCGGAGCUAACGCGUUAAGUAGACCGCCUGGGGAGUACGGCCGCAAGGUUAAAACUCAAAUGAAUUGACGGGGGCCCGCACAAGCGGUGGAGCAUGUGGUUUAAUUCGAUGCAACGCGAAGAACCUUACCUGGUCUUGACAUCCACGGAAGUUUUCAGAGAUGGAUUUGUGCCUUCGGGAACCGUGAGACAGGUGCUGCAUGGCUGUCGUCAGCUCGUGUUGUGAAAUGUUGGGUUAAGUCCCGCAACGAGCGCAACCCUUAUCCUUUGUUGCCAGCGGUCCGGCCGGGAACUCAAAGGAGACUGCCAGUGAUAAACUGGAGGAAGGUGGGGAUGACGUCAAGUCAUCAUGGCCCUUACGACCAGGGCUACACACGUGCUACAAUGGCGCAUACAAAGAGAAGCGACCUCGCGAGAGCAAGCGGACCUCAUAAAGUGCGUCGUAGUCCGGAUUGGAGUCUGCAACUCGACUCCAUGAAGUCGGAAUCGCUAGUAAUCGUGGAUCAGAAUGCCACGGUGAAUACGUUCCCGGGCCUUGUACACACCGCCCGUCACACCAUGGGAGUGGGUUGCAAAAGAAGUAGGUAGCUUAACCUUCGGGAGGGCGCUUACCACUUUGUGAUUCAUGACUGGGGUGAAGUCGUAACAAGGUAACCGUAGGGGAACCUGCGGUUG